AUUGAACGCUGGCGGCAUGCCUUACACAUGCAAGUCGAACGGCAGCACGGGAGCAAUCCUGGUGGCGAGUGGCGAACGGGUGAGUAAUAUAUCGGAACGUGCCCAGUCGUGGGGGAUAACGCAGCGAAAGUUGUGCUAAUACCGCAUACGAUCUAUGGAUGAAAGCGGGGGAUCGCAAGACCUCGCGCGAUUGGAGCGGCCGAUAUCAGAUUAGGUUGUUGGUGAGGUAAAAGCUCACCAAGCCUGCGAUCUGUAGCUGGUCUGAGAGGACGACCAGCCACACUGGAACUGAGACACGGUCCAGACUCCUACGGGAGGCAGCAGUGGGGAAUUUUGGACAAUGGACGAAAGUCUGAUCCAGCAAUGCCGCGUGUAGGACGAAGGCCUUCGGGUUGUAAACUGCUUUUGUACAGAACGAAAAAGUCUUUAAUAACACUAGAGGCUCAUGACGGUACUGUAAGAAUAAGCACCGGCUAACUACGUG
RNAcentral lists this ribosomal RNA (484 nucleotides) under uncultured bacterium. RNAcentral's name for it is "bacterial SSU rRNA". It matches the Rfam family "Bacterial small subunit ribosomal RNA", at positions 30 to 507 of the family's 1533-position model. The record is from RNAcentral.